Molecule: RNA transcript, 2313 nt
Organism: Cucurbita pepo subsp. pepo (vegetable marrow)
Lineage: Eukaryota; Viridiplantae; Streptophyta; Magnoliopsida; Cucurbitales; Cucurbitaceae
Source: RefSeq, a predicted model, not a curated record
AUAUGGGCGGAGGGUUAUGAGUCGCAGACUGACAGGGAUUUCGCGUUAAUUUCAUGCUUGAGAAAUUAGAGCACAGGAUUUGGUUUUAUCCGCGCCAAUUCGUCUCUGCUGCCUUUGGGAUCUCACUUCCUCUUCAACUCACGCUCGUAAGGUGAGCCCUAGCCUCCGCUUCAGUGGCCGUCAUGUCGCCGGGCGGAUGUGCAUGUGUUGCUAUUGAGAAUGGGGAUGCGGAAGCUUCUGGUAACUGUAAAUCCGGUGAUUCGUAUUGCGAGCAUUGUGGUUGUGGUUGUGGCAGUGGUUCGGCGGAUUAUUCUUCUUUGCCGGCUUUUUCUUGCUCUUCUUAUUCACUUUGGCUUGAUUCUGCGCGGUUGAGAGAGUCCGGGAAGUUUUGGCGGAUUCUUGUUGCUUCUGCUAAAGGCUUCACAAUUGGAGCUGGUCUUAAAGGUGGACUCUCCCUGUUUUCGAUCCUUGCUGGAUUGAAGCGGAGAAAGGCUUUGGCCUCCCUCGGGAAGAAAGGAGUGAUUACGAAUCGUGAUGCAAUUUCCAUGGCUUUGAAGGAGACUUUGAGGUACGGUCUGUUUCUUGGAACCUUUGCUGGGACAUUCGUUUCCAUCGAUGAGAUAAUAGGCAAUCUGGCAGGCCACCGUAGGACUGCAGGAUGGAGGGCUCUAUCAGCGGGAGCAUUAGCUGGGCCAUCAAUGCUUCUGACUGGGUUAAAUACGCAACAUAAGACCUUGGCUAUCUACAUUUUUAUGCGUGCUGCGGUCUUGGCAGCGCGUUGUGGGAUUAAAAGCAAGCGGUUCGGCCAUAUUUGUAAGCCGCUCACGUGGUCAUAUGGUGACAUCUUCCUUAUGUGUCUCUCCUCUUCGCAGAUCUUGUCUGCGUAUGUGUUGAAGCAAGACAGCUUACCACCAUCGUUUAGCUCCUUUCUCAAUAUACAUGGUGGAAAAGAUACUGUAAUCCUGGAAGGUUUAAAGAGUUUUGUAUCAGGCAUGCCAUCUUCUAAUAAAUUUAAAGCAGUAGAAAAGUACUACAGGGCAAUGGGUGCAGAUGUCAAAUUAGAUCUGCAAAUGAAGACUCCAUGCACGAUUAUACAUGGAAAUCAAUCAUGUGGUGGCCAUGUUCUUAACUUUCUCAUUCAAGGAUAUAAAAGAGCAUUGCCAGUUUACCUACCUGUUUAUCUUGUCCCAGCCCUGAUAGUUCAUCGUGAAGGUCUCAUGAAUAGGCCGUACGAAAUUCUAGCAAGGGGGCUUCUAGGAACUGCCAGAUCAAGUCUGUUCCUUUCUGUUUAUUGUUCAUCUGCUUGGAUGUGGACAUGCCUUACUGCAAGAACUUUCAAGAAAAUAAACAUUCCCUUGGUUGCUCUGGCAACGUUCUUAGCUGGUUUGGCUCUGGCCAUUGAGAAGAAGAGCCGGAGGAUUGAAAUCUCACUCUAUUGCCUUGCGAGAGGCAUCGAGAGCUUCUUCAGCUGCAUGACGGAUCUGGGAUACUUGCCACAAUCAUUGAAUUUUAAGAGAGCGGAUGUGAUAAUCUUUAGCAUAUCAACUGCCAUUAUAAUGCACUGCUAUGCACAGGAAAGAGAGGUAUUUCGAUCCAAGUAUUUGAACGUCCUUGACUGGGUUUUUGGUGUGCCUCCUCCUCCCCCUUGUGAUGAAACACCAAGCUGCAAAAAUUGCAAGCAGCAUUGAGAGGCGGCGUCGGACGCCUUCUUCGACGAACUAGACUGACCAGGAUUUUAGGGUGCCAAAUAUGUGCAUUAUUUGGUCAUCAAUUUGCAUUCUACACAAUAUUAUGAUGUUUAGGUGAUCAUUAGCUGAUAUAGAAUUAGCAUUCAAUCAAGCUUUAGAUGAUUCAUAUGAAGAUAUUCUUCACCCACAGGGCCUUACAUUUGAAGCAAAUUGGGGAUGCCUUUAUUGACAGGGUAUCGGCGGCCAGUCGCCGGGCAAACAAGGGCAAACAAGAGCGCCUUGCUCGAGAUGCAGCUCUAGAAGAGCAUGGUGGAAUCGUUGCAGGAACUCAUGAUUCCUUGAAGUAAAGUCUUUGAUUAUACCUUUGGAGAAACAGUAGCUUGCAAGAUUCCUUGAAGUGUUCUAAGGGCGUAGAAGUUCUUCACCUUCCACAAGAUCUUCACUCGAAGACAAGACCAACACUUAUGGAAGCCUCUGAAAAUUUAAGGGGCGUAGAAGUUCUUCACCUUCCACAAGAUCUUCACUCGAAGACAAGACCAACACUUAUGGAAGCCUCUGAAAAUUCAAGGGGUGUAGACGUUCUUCACAUUUCACAAUAUUUUCCUUAUUUUGACCCGAGUACAAG